UGGGGAAUAUUGCACAAUGGGCGCAAGCCUGAUGCAGCAACGCCGCGUGAGGGACGACGGCCUUCGGGUUGUAAACCUCUUUUAGUAGGGAAGAAGCGAAAGUGACGGUACCUGCAGAAAAAAGCACCGGCUAACUACGUGCCAGCAGCCGCGGUAAUACGUAGGGUGCGAGCGUUGUCCGGAAUUAUUGGGCGUAAAGAGCUCGUAGGCGGUCUGUCGCGUCUGCUGUGAAAACCCGAGGCUCAACCUCGGGCCUGCAGUGGGUACGGGCAGACUAGAGUGCGGUAGGGGAGAAUGGAAUUCCUGGUGUAGCGGUGGAAUGCGCAGAUAUCAGGAGGAACACCGAUGGCGAAGGCAGUUCUCUGGGCCGUAACUGACGCUGAGGAGCGAAAGCGUGGGGAGCGAACAGGAUUAGAUACCCUGGUAGUCCACGCCGUAAAACGUUGGGCGCUAGAUGUGGGGACCAUUCCACGGUUUCCGUGUCGCAGCUAACGCAUUAAGCGCCCCGCCUGGGGAGUACGGCCGCAAGGCU
Molecule: ribosomal RNA, 532 nt
Filed under: uncultured bacterium
Lineage: Bacteria
Description: partial 16S ribosomal RNA
Rfam family: Bacterial small subunit ribosomal RNA
Source: RNAcentral